GAGUAACCCGUGGGUAACCUGCCUGUAAAACUGGGAUAACUCCGGGAAACCGGGGCUAAUACCGGAUAACACCUACCCCCGCAUGGGGGAAGGUUGAAAGGUGGCUUCGGCUAUCACUUACAGAUGGACCCGCGGCGCAUUAGCUAGUUGGUGAGGUAAUGGCUCACCAAGGCGACAAUGCGUACCCAACCUGAGAGGGUGAUCGGCCACACUGGGACUGAAACACGGCCCAUACUCCUACGGGAGGCAGCAGUAGGGAAUCUUCCGCAAUGGACAAAAGUCUGACGGAGCAACGCCCCGUGAGUGAAAAAGGUUUUCGGAUCGUAAAACUCUGUUGUUAGGGAAAAACAAGUGCCGUUCGAAUAGGGCGGCCCCUUGACGGUACCUAACCAAAAAGCCACGGCUAACUACGUGCCAGCCGCCGCGGUAAUACGUAGGUGGCAAGCGGUGUCCGGAAUUAUUGGGCGUUAAGCGCGCGCAGGUGGUUUCUUAAGUCUGAUGUGAAAGCCCA
RNAcentral lists this ribosomal RNA (511 nucleotides) under Bacillus sp. SCAUE9012. RNAcentral's name for it is "bacterial SSU rRNA". It matches the Rfam family "Bacterial small subunit ribosomal RNA", at positions 108 to 604 of the family's 1533-position model. The record is from RNAcentral. Lineage: Bacteria; Bacillati; Bacillota; Bacilli; Caryophanales; Bacillaceae.